RNAcentral lists this ribosomal RNA (712 nucleotides) under Enterobacter hormaechei. Its description in RNAcentral is "bacterial SSU rRNA". It matches the Rfam family "Bacterial small subunit ribosomal RNA", at positions 47 to 748 of the family's 1533-position model. The record is from RNAcentral. Lineage: Bacteria; Pseudomonadati; Pseudomonadota; Gammaproteobacteria; Enterobacterales; Enterobacteriaceae.
CCCUACACAUGCAAGUCGAACGGUAACAGGAAGCAGCUUGCUGCUUCGCUGACGAGUGGCGGACGGGUGAGUAAUGUCUGGGAAACUGCCUGAUGGAGGGGGAUAACUACUGGAAACGGUAGCUAAUACCGCAUAACGUCGCAAGACCAAAGAGGGGGACCUUCGGGCCUCUUGCCAUCGGAUGUGCCCAGAUGGGAUUAGCUAGUAGGUGGGGUAACGGCUCACCUAGGCGACGAUCCCUAGCUGGUCUGAGAGGAUGACCAGCCACACUGGAACUGAGACACGGUCCAGACUCCUACGGGAGGCAGCAGUGGGGAAUAUUGCACAAUGGGCGCAAGCCUGAUGCAGCCAUGCCGCGUGUAUGAAGAAGGCCUUCGGGUUGUAAAGUACUUUCAGCGGGGAGGAAGGCGAUAAGGUUAAUAACCUUGUCGAUUGACGUUACCCGCAGAAGAAGCACCGGCUAACUCCGUGCCAGCAGCCGCGGUAAUACGGAGGGUGCAAGCGUUAAUCGGAAUUACUGGGCGUAAAGCGCACGCAGGCGGUCUGUCAAGUCGGAUGUGAAAUCCCCGGGCUCAACCUGGGAACUGCAUUCGAAACUGGCAGGCUAGAGUCUUGUAGAGGGGGGUAGAAUUCCAGGUGUAGCGGUGAAAUGCGUAGAGAUCUGGAGGAAUACCGGUGGCGAAGGCGGCCCCCUGGACAAAGACUGACGCUC